CGGGGAAUAUUGCACAAUGGGCGCAAGCCUGAUGCAGCGACGCCGCGUGAGGGAUGAAGGCCUUCGGGUUGUAAACCUCUUUCAGCAGGGAAGAAGCGCAAGUGACGGUACCUGCAGAAGAAGCGCCGGCUAACUACGUGCCAGCAGCCGCGGUAAUACGUAGGGCGCAAGCGUUGUCCGGAAUUAUUGGGCGUAAAGAGCUCGUAGGCGGUUUGUCGCGUCUGCUGUGAAAACUCGAGGCUCAACCUCGGGCUUGCAGUGGGUACGGGCAGACUAGAGUGCGGUAGGGGUGACUGGAAUUCCUGGUGUAGCGGUGGAAUGCGCAGAUAUCAGGAGGAACACCGAUGGCGAAGGCAGGUCACUGGGCCGCAACUGACGCUGAGGAGCGAAAGCAUGGGGAGCGAAC
This 406-nucleotide ribosomal RNA is filed under the name uncultured bacterium. Its description in RNAcentral is "bacterial SSU rRNA". It matches the Rfam family "Bacterial small subunit ribosomal RNA", at positions 355 to 773 of the family's 1533-position model. The record is from RNAcentral.